RNAcentral lists this ribosomal RNA (253 nucleotides) under uncultured prokaryote. RNAcentral's name for it is "partial 16S ribosomal RNA". It matches the Rfam family "Bacterial small subunit ribosomal RNA", at positions 524 to 776 of the family's 1533-position model. The record is from RNAcentral.
UACAGAGGUCCCGAGCGUUGUUCGGAUUCACUGGGCGUAAAGGGUGCGUAGGUGGCUUUGCAAGUCUGAUGUGAAAUCUCCAGGCCCAACCUGGAAACUGCAUUAGAAACUGUGAGGCUAGAGGCUUGGAGGGGGAACUGGAAUGCUCGGUGUAGCAGUGAAAUGCGUAGAGAUCGAGCGGAGCACCAGUGGCGAAGGCGAGUUCCUGGACAAGUCCUGACACUGAGGCACGAAAGCCGGGGGAGCAAACAGG